CUUUCUUGUGACUUUUUUGUAGUUGAAGAGCAAAAUAAUGCCGUUACAGGCAAAUCACCUUUCAAGGAACGGGAGACAUUUGAUGGACGAAAUAUACUGAAGAUCUUUGAGAACUUCUGUUUUGGAGAACUGCAGCUGAAUUCAGUCCACCUUUCUCAGAGAUUUUCCACAGACAGUUCUGGUUACUAUGCUACAUCUGGGCAGCUCACUUUCUCCUGAAAUAACAACUUGGCUGCUCCAAAAGAUCUGUUGGGUGCCCAGAAUGGCAGAAUAAAUUUGAUCUUGAUUAAAGGGGUAACAUUAAAUUUGAAGCCUGAACAAAUAUGAAAAGAGAUCUCUUAUAAGGAUUCUACAAAGACUGGGACACCGUGUUGCUUCUUCAAAAAAACAUGCACAAUCCACGACAGAUGAUGGAUCUCUCCUGUAUCCUUCCUACAAAUACCCCGUCUAUCUAUCCUCUUGAAAAGCUCUGGUCUCUUCCACCUCACACAGCCUUUUCGUCUCUUAAUACUUUUAAUGUACAGGUUUCUUUGGUUUAGAAACAAGCUGUCAUCUAUAAGAUAAACUGUCAUUGUCAGCUAACAUUAUAUACACAGUUUAUUUCUUGUUUUAGAUGUUUGAUGCAGUCUUACAAGUUUACAAAAAUAACAUUUAUUUCUCCAUAUCAGCUCUCCUUUUAUUCUUGUUUUCUGUUUGAAUUAUAUACCUCUUUUCUCAGUUUUGUUUGUAAUGGAGCAGAAGAUAUGUCUCCAUGUUGUUUACUUCCUUAGUUCAAAGCCCAAUGAAGCCAGUGAAAAGACUCCUGUUAAAUCAAUGGACUUUGGAUCAGUCUUUAUAUGAACCAGAAUGUUGCACGUCCCUGUCUAUGUCACUAACUUGCUUGUUGUAUACCAGUGGAGGAGACAUACCCAGCUUUCUGGGUAUUGCACCAAAUCUUGAGUAUUUACUUUUUAAAUGGGCAACUAAAUCUCAAAAUAUUUAAAAUCCAGAAGGGCUCCACAGACCUUAAGAGAACAGUGUUAAGGUAAGUCAUUACUUGGUGCCCAAACUGGAAGUAGUUCAGUAACAUUAUUGAUGUUAAUCACCAAAUAAAUUAUUUUAAAAACCA
This is a non-coding RNA of Pelodiscus sinensis (Chinese soft-shelled turtle), 1108 nucleotides long. NCBI's taxonomy places the organism in Eukaryota, Metazoa, Chordata, Testudines, Trionychidae. The record is from RefSeq and is a predicted model, not a curated record.